RNAcentral lists this unclassified non-coding RNA (216 nucleotides) under uncultured fungus. RNAcentral's name for it is "sequence contains ITS1". Lineage: Eukaryota; Fungi. The record is from RNAcentral.
GUAUUAAUUGCGUGUGAUCGCAAAAGAAAAACAUUCUACACUGUAUCGAGUUUGUGUGAAAACGUGAGCCCCCGAAAGGGGACCCACGCGGUGGUGCACAUAGGGGUGAGAUGGAUGUUUGAGAACGCUCGGGCGUGCACGACCUUUGAAGGUCAGCGACAGCCCUCGCACCUCGGUUGUACGAUAAUGAUCCUUCCGCAGGUUCACCUACGGAAA